GUGUCUGUACCCUAGUGGUAAAAGGCAGCACUCUAGAUGCUGACGUUGUGGGUUUGAAUCCCACCAGACACA
Molecule: transfer RNA, 72 nt
Filed under: Cronartium ribicola 11-2
Lineage: Eukaryota; Fungi; Basidiomycota; Pucciniomycetes; Pucciniales; Coleosporiaceae
Description: tRNA-Sup (CTA) (tRNA-Sup-CTA-36-1)
Rfam family: tRNA
About the family: Transfer RNA (tRNA) molecules are approximately 80 nucleotides in length. Their secondary structure includes four short double-helical elements and three loops (D, anti-codon, and T loops).
Source: RNAcentral